Long non-coding RNA from Notolabrus celidotus (New Zealand spotty), 351 nucleotides. RefSeq lists it as uncharacterized. The transcript has 4 exons. NCBI's taxonomy places the organism in Eukaryota, Metazoa, Chordata, Actinopteri, Labriformes, Labridae. The record is from RefSeq and is a predicted model, not a curated record.
GCCCCUUUAAGCUGUUGGGCACCACAUGGUACACUAGACAAACCAAACAAAAGCCAAAAAGUAUGGAGGACAAACGUAUAUGUUAAAAUAAAUAUCCCCAAAGAAGCCCUGUUGACCAUGUCAAACUUUCCCUUCAUUGGAAGCAUUCGGAGGCUGUUAAGAAUUUCUUGCCAUGGAGGAGCUAGCUACCGUGUAAUCAGAGGUCGACAAGCACUAAGGAAAAGGCGUGUCCAAGAUGCUCCAAGAAGAACAAAAAACAUCAGUCAAACACAUCAUUCAAGUAUGGAAACUCUUAGACUGUGCAAUUAGCAAAUGUCACUAUAAAAUUAAAGCUCCAGUAAGGAACUUUUA